This 430-nucleotide ribosomal RNA is filed under the name bacterium. RNAcentral describes it as "bacterial SSU rRNA". It matches the Rfam family "Bacterial small subunit ribosomal RNA", at positions 354 to 776 of the family's 1533-position model. RNAcentral also lists the same sequence under 1 other name. The record is from RNAcentral.
GUGGGGAAUAUUGGACAAUGGGCGAAAGCCUGAUCCAGCCAUGCCGCGUGUGUGAAGAAGGUCUUCGGAUUGUAAAGCACUUUAAGUUGGGAGGAAGGGCAGUAAGUUAAUACCUUGCUGUUUUGACGUUACCAACAGAAUAAGCACCGGCUAACUUCGUGCCAGCAGCCGCGGUAAUACGAAGGGUGCAAGCGUUAAUCGGAAUUACUGGGCGUAAAGCGCGCGUAGGUGGUUCAGCAAGUUGGAUGUGAAAUCCCCGGGCUCAACCUGGGAACUGCAUCCAAAACUACUGAGCUAGAGUACGGUAGAGGGUGGUGGAAUUUCCUGUGUAGCGGUGAAAUGCGUAGAUAUAGGAAGGAACACCAGUGGCGAAGGCGACCACCUGGACUGAUACUGACACUGAGGUGCGAAAGCGUGGGGAGCAAACAGG